Molecule: ribosomal RNA, 252 nt
Filed under: uncultured bacterium
Lineage: Bacteria
Description: partial 16S ribosomal RNA
Rfam family: Bacterial small subunit ribosomal RNA
Source: RNAcentral
UACGGAGGGUGCGAGCGUUGUCCGGAAUCACUGGGCGUAAAGGGCGCGUAGGCGGUCUGCUAAGCGUGUGGUGAAAGCUCGGGGCUCAACCCCCGAGUCUGCCAUGCGAACUGGUGGACUUGAGCACUGUAGAGGCAGGUGGAAUUCCGGGUGUAGCGGUGGAAUGCGUAGAGAUCCGGAAGAACACCAGUGGCGAAGGCGGCCUGCUGGGCAGUUGCUGACGCUGAGGCGCGCAGCGUGGGGAGCAACAGG